Long non-coding RNA from Populus euphratica (Euphrates poplar), 1694 nucleotides. RefSeq lists it as uncharacterized. NCBI's taxonomy places the organism in Eukaryota, Viridiplantae, Streptophyta, Magnoliopsida, Malpighiales, Salicaceae. The transcript has 2 exons. The record is from RefSeq and is a predicted model, not a curated record.
UUCACUGCAGCAUAAUGUUUCAAGCUUCCAGAGAAAUGCUGGACAUAUCUUACAAAAUAAGGUCAAGACCAAAGAUUGUUCUGCAUUUAUCUCUCCUCUUUGUGCUAGAUUCAAGGGAUACAUACGGAUGAUCAUGUGAGGCCAUCACCAAAAGUCAUAGACUGAGUCAUCACUGUUGUUACACAAAGCUGCAAAAAAUAUAGUACUGGAACAUUAGUAAAACAGUUAAAACGAGUAAAAGGGUGUUCCAAACUAAGGUGUACUAGCCGACCAAAUGCACUAGGACAAGGGAAUGUGAGAUUCACUAUCAUCCAGACAGCAGCUGUACGUAACCUGCUAUCACUACACUGCAAGAUCUUGAUCAUGAAAGAUUGGGCUCAAUUAUCUGCUCGGACAAGAAGUUGCUGCAUAACUAUUUCCUUGUGAAAAUCAUUUCCACGUUGCCAAGAAGAUAAAUUCCCUGCAUGAUAAGAAUUUUAAUUAUCUAUUAGCAAUCUAUAAACAGCAUUGUACUGUAAAUUCCCCCGAGACCCACUUUUUUCUUGCAUGGUUUCAAUCAUGAUUGGCAGAAACAAUAGUUGCACAAUAUGUUACCUUUCCCAAUGCUCUUCAUCAUUCAAAAAAUAGACAGAAUAAACAUAGAAACCAAAUUAAAUCAUCCAGCAUAUAGUUGUAGGCACAUGUCAGAAAUGUUUUGUUAAUAUAAACCAGUCUUUUUUCCCCAGCCGACAUUUUACUGAGCUUACUUGAUAAACGACGUUUUUACUUGCAUAUCAACAAUCUUCACAUGGAAAUGCAAAAGUUCAUCUGGAUGAUAGAGCUGGGAUUUGCCCUCACCCCAGAGUUCACAGAUUAAUACCCGCUGACCAUAAAAGACCACCAACCAUCACACAGCAAGAUAAUUAACCUCCUUAUGUUUAAUAACUAAUGCACCAUGGUCUCUCUGAGAUUUCUUGCUAAUAUUAGGAAAGGUAUAUCUUCAUGCGGCCAUGUUUGUUUUUAUCAAUGAUGUCAAGACUUUCUUAUAAACAACAAAUUCCAUGUAGAAUGCAAGUUGUUUGUGCUCCUGUAUGUUCAUUAUCCAUCAACAAUACAGUAGCUUGUAUUGUUUAAUUUCUAACUAUGCAUGUCUAAACUUUCAAUAUGGAACUUGCAAUCUUCAAGCUUGCCAGCCUCUACCUUCAAUGGAAAAUCAUUAAUGUGCCUUAAAAUAUGAAACAACUAUGAUGAUUAGCGAAGCGAGCAAGAAUAUCAAAAGUUUUAAUAUGUGACAGCCCUGCGAGAAGUUUCUUUUCAUGAUCAAUGCUAAGGAUAUGGAAAGAGCACCUCAAUUUAACAUCAAGUUACUGUUUUCUUUUCUGAUAAAUCUGAUGCCGUGGUGACAAUCUCAAGUGAACAUCAAGUUACAGUUUUAUUUUUGAUAAAUCAGAAACAGUGAUGACAUUUGAAAAAGAAACAAACGAAGAAGAAACCUUUUGAAAUGAAUACAUAUAAUAAUGAAUGUAAGAACACAUAAUAAUAGAUGUGGUGGAUGUACAUGCAAGAAUUGCUGGGAAUUCUGAUCAGUGAUCUUCUAAUAGUUACCCAUUGGAAACUAAGUACACUGACACAAUAUUUAACAUGGUUCGGCAAAUCACUUACAUCCACGGGAAAAGCCAUUUGAUUAUAUAGGAAAACAACAAGAUUUACAACAA